CUAGUACCCAUGAGGAUGAGGGUUCAAUCCCUGGCCUUGCUCAGGGGGUUGGGGAUCUGGUGUUGCAGUGACCUGUGGUGUAGGUCCCAGGUGCAGCUCAGAUCCCAUGUCGUGUUGCUGCGGCUGUGGUGUAGGCCAGCAACUGUAGCUCCCAUUCAACCCCUAGCCUGGGCACUUCCAUAUGUCAUGGGUGCGGCCCUCAAAAGCCGAAAAAGAAAAUUGUUCCUCUUGGGGUUCCCAUGGUGGUGCCGUGGAAACAAAUAUGACUAGUAUCCAUGAGGAUGCAGGGUCGAUCCCUGGCCUCGCUCAGUGGGUUGGGCAUCUGGUGUUGCUGGGAGCUGUGGUGUAGGUCACAGACACAGCUCAGAUCUGGCGUUGCAGUGGCUGUGGGGCAGCCUGGCAGCUGUAGCUCCGAUUUGACCUCUAGCCUGGGAACUUCCACAUGCCAUGGGUGCGGUCCUAAAAAACAAACAACAAGAAAAAAAUUGUCUCCUAAACAUGGCCCGUGUCAGGCUCCCCUACUCCCUCCGCACUCACCCCAUGUCUUCUAUGCUGUUUUCCUCCAAGUAACCAAAGGCUGGCGCCAUGCCUUGAUUGGCCAGCUGGCUGGGAGGACAAGGAGAGCAGCCGAUGGCUGUGAAGACAAACCUACCUCCCUGCCGGCUGGGGACCAGGGCUCAGCUUGAGGGAAGGACGGCGCCAGGACCCCUGGGCUGUCAGAGUGGAGGGAGCCCUGGGGGGGCAGUUGUGGGGGGGCGCACCAAGGAAAAAGCUGCUCUUGCUGCGGAGUCUGGAGUGUUUUGGAAGCUCUUGGGGCUCUGUGUGCCUGGAGGUUUCAGCGGGGGGCAGAGAGAGGGGUUUACUGUUGGUGUGGCCAGGGAGCUGCCUGGAAUGAACUUGAGGGUUUCCACCAAAAGAAAACCUCUUCUUCAGGGCUGCCAUUUGAACUUGUUCGCUACAGCCGGGGAGGAAACAGGAAGUGGAAAAAAAAAGUCAGUGUCCUUUAAGGUUAAGUUUUGGUCCCAGAGAAUUGAAUUACGAAAUGCACACUUGAUUGGCUUGUACUCAGUUUGGACCUGGAAAGCUCCACAGUUGGGAUGAAAGAAAGGAAGGGAGGUGUCUGCUGUCUCCUUUUCAAAAGAGCCAUUUCCAAAGGGACCACCAAGGAGACUUUGAAGAGACGUCACUAACCUGGAGGCUGCCCCUGAAAUGCACACCAAUAGGUAGCUGGGCUGUACAUAAGUGGGCGUAGACCCUUUGACAUCAAGUGUUUAAGAGGACAGAAGGAUCCUACAGGGAACCCAGGCUCUACUCUAAGGCAGUCAAUCCACCCCACCCUCAAACUUCCAGGUCCUGGCAUGGGAUUGGUCCUGGUGUGGGAUGAAGCCAAGAGCCCCUUGGGCAAGUUUUCAAAGGAUCUGAGGAAGCUGAGCACCAAAUACCCCUACCCAGAGCUGGAGCAGAUGACAGCCUGGGAAUGGGCCAGGAAUGUCCCCACCCAAAAAUGUGUCUCCCAACCUGCUCCAUGGCCUCCCACCUGACCCAUUUACCUAUGGCCCACAGCCUGGCUUCUCUGCUAAACCAGUUGGGUCAUUCACAAAUAUUGGAUCCACUGUAGUAAAUAGCAACAUUUGACAAGUAGAGGGACUGGGGGCUCAUGUUCUUCAGCCCAACAACCUGAGUACCAGGUGUAAAAGCAUGUCUCAUACUGAAUUUGGCCACACAAGCACACAUUUAUGAGCAAGUACACGUUAGAUAUUGCCAAGCAGGCCCCCAAACUUCUGCUCUGGAACUCCAUUAAGUCCUAGGUCUGGUCCUGUUAGAUGUUUCUUGCAUGAAAGAUUUACCCAAGACAGAUGCAGCAGUAUCUGUGCUGAAUUCAGCGUAGAUUCUAGAGGUAGGUAGGCAACAAAAGUCUCCACUGAUAGGUCAUGCACAAGAGCAGGUGGAAAUUUUGAACCUAGAGGACCUUCUACAGACUACAGGACCCCCUGAAUUCUAUGCCCUUGUUCUACAAGAGCGACAGUGCCCGGAUUGUAUCCCCAGCCAAUCAACACAUUGCUUACACACUGCACUCACCAAUCAAAAGUCAUUCUAUGCCCCUUAUGCAAAAGAGCAAGCCCUCCAGGACCUAUAGGAAAUAAAGACAACUGAAAUGCUUGUAGUUGCCCCUAUGAAUUGUGGGCUUUCGAAUACUAAUCACCCAUCCUGGGAGUCUGUACUCUUUUUUAACGGACUGUCCUUGAGUAUAGAUUAAAAGUCACAUGGUCUAUCUGAAGCAUUUUGAAGUAAACUGUAAGUAAUUUAAUGCCAGUUAAAGAUGUGGCUUUGGAAGCAAGCUUUAGCAAUUGGGGAUGGGCCCUCUUCCUAAGGAAAGUACAGAGGCAUGAUGUGUAAUUUAAAGAAGAUUCUUUCAAUACUUUGGACUAUGACCCUGCCCCAGACUUGACAAAUGUUCACUUAAAUCUUGUGGCGAUUUCACAAGCGGUGGUUGUGCCCAAAAAAAGACUACUGAGAAGUUUACUUUGAGUUUAAAUAACUAUGGUUCAAUUUACUAAACUGACAAAGUCUUAACCCCGUUCUCUCUUAAGCUUUGAAAUCUGCUAACAAAUCUUUCUCUGUUUAUACAGAGCAGAUUUUAGCAACCGCUUCUAAGAGGGCUUUGAAUGACAUUUGGUCCUAUUUACAAAUGCAAGUAAUUAAUUAAGCAUGCCUCAAACAAUUCAUGGCGUAUUUAUAAAUUUAAUGGUUUGAGUGAGUGGUUUUCCUUGCAGGGGUGGGGGAGGGGAGGGAGGGACUAGAGGAGACACAGAGUCAAAGGGGAGGGAUGCUUCUGGGAUCCCAGUAACAUUAGAUUUCUUGUUUUCCUCUCUCUCUCUCUUUUUUUUUUUAACGGCCACACCAGCAGCAUAUGGCUAGGGGUCUAAUCAGAGCUGCAGCUGAGCCCACCCCACAGCCCCGGCGACACCAGAUUCAAGCCACAUCUUCGACCCACACAGCUUCAGAGCUGGAUCCUCAACCCACUGAGCAAGGCCAGGGAUCAAACCUGAAUCCUCAUGGACACGAUGUCGGGUCCUUAACCUACUGAGCUGCAACAGGAACUCCCACAUUAUGUUUCUUGAUCUGGUUCAGGCUCACUCUGGGGACUUUUCUGAGCUUCUGGUACAUCUCAAAAGAAUUCUUAGUCUUCUGUUAGAUUUCCUUUUUAACUCCCUGGGUACCUAACUAAUUCUUUUACAUCUAGUCAAUUAAAUGUGUGUGUGUGGGGAACCUAAAAUUCUCUUAACUAUUCUAUUACUGAGCAUAAACUUAGUAAGAUUUCAACUUAAACCCACACAUGGAAAUUAAUUAUUCAAUUACAUUUUAAAUUAUAAUGAUUAGACUCUCAUUUUAAUAGGCAAAAUUAUCUUAGCAUUACAAGUAAGAAUAUAACAGAAAAAUAAAAUACUAUGGUUUUCAUUCCCAUAAGGCUGUCCAAAUGUAACCCAAAUCUUUCUGGAGUUCAGAGAUGUGUAGCCAUUAUUCUGGUGAACUGGGGCUCCCGACCCACAGGGUUGCAGUUAUGAGCCCAACUAGCUGAGUGAUUAGAGUAGGAAAUUUCUCCUGGGACAUUGGUUAAGUUCUUGUUGGUGCCCCAGAGGCAUCCCUGAAUCCUGUUUCCAGGUUCUGUCAUGGAC
This 3677-nucleotide long non-coding RNA is filed under the name Sus scrofa (pig). Its description in RNAcentral is "lncRNA (ENSSSCG00000057467.1)". The record is from RNAcentral. Lineage: Eukaryota; Metazoa; Chordata; Mammalia; Artiodactyla; Suidae.